Lingula anatina is the source of this 253-nucleotide long non-coding RNA. The record is from RefSeq and is a predicted model, not a curated record. NCBI's taxonomy places the organism in Eukaryota, Metazoa, Brachiopoda, Lingulata, Lingulida, Lingulidae.
UGCGCCUUGGAUUGAAUCUACAGGGCAGUGAAACACACAGUUGUAGGAAGCAAGUGUGUCAUAUAGCAUUGCUGUUAUAAUAUCACACACAGAAUGUAUGGGAGUAACUAUCCACAACCUGGUGGCAUGGCAGGUGACAUGGCAUAUCCACCAAGUUCUGGCCCCCCUCCACCCCCUGGCAGAGGAAUGAUGGGUGCUCCAUUUGGAGGCAUGGGUGGCAUGGGAGGCAUGGGAGGCAUGGGCGGCAUGGGAG